Molecule: long non-coding RNA, 361 nt
Filed under: Numida meleagris (helmeted guineafowl)
Lineage: Eukaryota; Metazoa; Chordata; Aves; Galliformes; Numididae
Description: lncRNA (ENSNMEG00000001278.1)
Source: RNAcentral
UCCAUGCCAUUGUCCCCAAGACCUUGAGGACCCCAUGGAGAUGCCUCCAAAGUCCCAAGAACCCCAUGGCAACGUCCCCAAGACCCCAAGGACCCCAUGGCAACGUCCCCAAGGUCCAUGCCAUUGUCCCCAACACCUUGAGGACCCCAUGGAGAUGUCCCCUAGACCCCAAGGACCCCAUGGUGGUGUCCCCAAGACCCCACAGACCCCAGGGUGAUGUCCCCAAGGUCCAUGGCAUUGUUGUCCCCAAGGACCCCAUAGAGGGGUCCUGUCCCCACCAGGGGUGUCCCCAAGACCCUGAAGACCCCAUGGAGGUGUCCCCAAGGUCCAAGAUGAUGUCCCCAAGGUCCAUGCCAUUGUC